CUACGGGGCGCUCCAGUGGGGAAUAUUGCACAAUGGGCGCAAGCCUGAUGCAGCCAUGCCGCGUGUAUGAAGAAGGCCUUCGGGUUGUAAAGUACUUUCAGCGGGGAGGAAGGGAGUAAAGUUAAUACCCUUGCUCAUUGACGUUACCCGCAGAAGAAGCACCGGCUAACUCCGUGCCAGCAGCCGCGGUAAUACGGAGGGUGCAAGCGUUAAUCGGAAUUACUGGGCGUAAAGCGCACGCAGGCGGUUUGUUAAGUCAGAUGUGAAAUCCCCGGGCUCAACCUGGGAACUGCAUCUGAACUGGCAAGCUUGAGUCUCGUAGAGGGGGGUAGAAUUCCAGGUGUAGCGGUGAAAUGCGUAGAGAUCUGGAGGAAUACCGGUGGCGAAGGCGGCCCCCUGGACGAAGACUGACGCUCAGGUGCGAAAGCGUGGGGAGCAAACAGGAUUAGAUACCCCUGUAGUC
Molecule: ribosomal RNA, 463 nt
Filed under: uncultured bacterium
Lineage: Bacteria
Description: partial 16S ribosomal RNA
Rfam family: Bacterial small subunit ribosomal RNA
Source: RNAcentral